Molecule: ribosomal RNA, 358 nt
Filed under: uncultured bacterium
Lineage: Bacteria
Description: partial 16S ribosomal RNA
Rfam family: Bacterial small subunit ribosomal RNA
Source: RNAcentral
UGGGGAAUUUUGACAAUGGGCGAAAGCCUGAUCCAGCAAUGCCGCGUGUGUGAAGAAGGCCUUCGGGUUGUAAAGCACUUUUGUCCGGAAAGAAAUCCUUGGCUCUAAUACAGUCGGGGGAUACGGUACCGGAAGAAUAAGCACCGGCUAACUACGUGCCAGCAGCCGCGGUAAUACGUAGGGUGCAAGCGUUAAUCGGAAUUACUGGGCGUAAAGCGUGCGCAGGCGGUUUGCUAAGACCGAUGUGAAAUCCCCGGGCUAACCUGGGAACUCAUUGGUGACUGGCAGGCUAGAGUAUGGCAGAGGGGGGUAGAAUUCCACGUAGUAGCAGUGAAAUGCGUAGAGAUGUGGAGGAAUA